RNAcentral lists this ribosomal RNA (310 nucleotides) under uncultured bacterium. RNAcentral describes it as "partial 16S ribosomal RNA". It matches the Rfam family "Bacterial small subunit ribosomal RNA", at positions 503 to 807 of the family's 1533-position model. The record is from RNAcentral.
AAGAGACAGCAGUCGCCACGGUAAUGCGGAGGGGGCUAGCGUUGUUCGGAAUUACUGGGCGUAAAGCGCACGUAGGCGGUUUUGUAAGUCAGAGGUGAAAGCCCGGAGCUCAACUCCGGAACUGCCUUUGAGACGGCAUCACUUGAACGUCGGAGAGGUGAGUGGAAUUCCGAGUGUAGAGGUGAAAUUCGUAGAUAUUCGGAAGAACACCAGUGGCGAAGGCGGCUCACUGGACGACUGUUGACGCUGAGGUGCGAAAGCGUGGGGAGCAAACAGGAUUAGAUACCCGAGUAGUCCCUGUCUCUUAUAC